This is a long non-coding RNA of Bombus huntii, 799 nucleotides long. RefSeq lists it as uncharacterized. The transcript is spliced from 2 exons. NCBI's taxonomy places the organism in Eukaryota, Metazoa, Arthropoda, Insecta, Hymenoptera, Apidae. The record is from RefSeq and is a predicted model, not a curated record.
GGACAAUUUGGACAAUAAGUUGUUGUUUUCUUCAAAUUCUUUUGUGCCUUUGUUCGGUCCAUUCGACGUCUUUUAUUCGCAUAACAUAGUUUGCAUGCGCGUCUAAUGCUUCCUCCGGAAUCAUUUUUCCGAACGGCGAUAUGAUGCUGACUCCGUCGAAGACAAGGAUUUUUUGUAUUUUCAGACAACCCUAAUAAUUUUGCAACUAAUAAUUGUCUAAAUAUUCUAAUAUUUAUAUUUUUUCUUGUUGUAAUUUUGUAAACCGUCAAAGCGUUUACAACAGAAAUUCCCAGAAAGAAUUGAAUGCCAAGUUUUCUGUACCACUUGAUUCCUUUUCUAAUUGUGGUGACAUAAGAAACCAUUUGGUUGGUAUAAUCUAUGCUAUACUUUCUUUCAUCAUAUUCAACAACAGCUAGUGGUUUUAAUGUUGCGAACAAAUGAAACGAAAGAUCAUUCUUAAGACUACCACUUGAGCGAUUCGCAUUACUAAAAUAUCGAUGGGAGCACUUAGUAGAGAACGCUUGGUACUGCUAUACGCGUGGCCUGACGGAAAUUUCUUUGAAAACAUGCGUGGUAGUCAAUGUGUUAAUUAAGAUACAUAUUACGUUAAAGAGACGAUGGUACUUAUUUAUUUAUUAAAUCUUCCUGCGACAAUUUUAAAUUUGUUAUCUUUAUACUUUGAUUUGAAAGCGCUUGACAGGGUGGCGAUAUGUAACAUUUAUAGGAACAAUAGUAGGAUUCAUAGGAACGUUUUGUUAUUUUACAAUGAUUAGCCCCAUGAUCAAUCCAGAACCAUAUA